UACGAAGGGGGCUAGCGUUGCUCGGAAUCACUGGGCGUAAAGGGUGCGUAGGCGGGUCUUUAAGUCAGGGGUGAAAUCCUGGAGCUCAACUCCAGAACUGCCUUUGAUACUGAAGAUCUUGAGUUCGGGAGAGGUGAGUGGAACUGCGAGUGUAGAGGUGAAAUUCGUAGAUAUUCGCAAGAACACCAGUGGCGAAGGCGGCUCACUGGCCCGUAACUGACGCUGAGGUGCGAAAGCGUGGGGAGCAAACAGGG
This 254-nucleotide ribosomal RNA is filed under the name uncultured bacterium. RNAcentral describes it as "partial 16S ribosomal RNA". It matches the Rfam family "Bacterial small subunit ribosomal RNA", at positions 524 to 777 of the family's 1533-position model. The record is from RNAcentral.